Molecule: non-coding RNA, 21 nt
Organism: Caenorhabditis elegans
Lineage: Eukaryota; Metazoa; Nematoda; Chromadorea; Rhabditida; Rhabditidae
Source: Ensembl
UACUGCGAUGGAUUUACAGAA